UGGCCAGGAAUUAUGACAGCUUGUACUUUCCCAUGAGAACUAUAUGUAGAAACAGGUAAUUAGGACUGCCACUCAAGUGUUUUCUAACAGACAGGAGUGCAGCACAGUUGGGGCUUGAUGCUAACUGCUCCGACAGGUGAAACCUUUCUCCCAGCACCCUAGAUUCAAAUGAACAACAUUUAUCAUGGUGAGUGUUUGUUUUCCAGCCAAGUGACUGUAUCCUGUGAUGGAAUGAUGGCUAAUGGGAUUUUCUGCGAUGAUUUCUCAGUCAAUUAUAGCAGUAGAAGACCUAUGCAGAUGGAUAUGAAAUCAUCCCCAAUGAAAUCAUUCCUGUUUCUAAUUGCAGGAAGAACAAAAAAACAACAAAAAACCCCCAAAACCAUCUAGCCAGGGGUCCUGCACAUGUGAAAGAAGGCUUGAGGAAGAUGAACUGGAAACGUACACAUGCAACCACUGUAGUAUAUAUGGAACCCCCCUCUCCUCAAAUCCAGCUUCUAGGACCGUGCAUGUGGAGGCCUUUUAGAAAAUCAAUAACAAGGCCAGUUACCUUUUAAGGAAGGAGAACAGAGAACAGAGUGGACCUGAUUUUGGCUUUUCUUCCUAUUCCUCUUUUCUCAACGAACUGUUGAGCAACACAGUUCACACAUGCACAGAUAGAUCAGGGCCUACAUCUUUUGCCAGGCUUAUUGUGACGGAGCACAUUUCAGAUCUAUUUCUCUAUCAUAUAAGGGUGCUUCAAGUGCUUCAUUUCUCCCCUUGCACAUAUAAGGUAGCAGCUAUAUCCAGAGAUGUUUUGUAUAACAAUGCUAAUAUGAGGCCCAUAAAUGUGAAGAACCGAAGACAGGAAAAAUGAGAAACAGAGAUGAAACUGGAACUGGGAUUUUUCUCCAUCACUAGCAUAGCUCCCCCUCUGAAUUAAGACUUGUGUGCACAUACUGUAGGCUUCCCAAACAUUUGUGAGUGUAAUAUAACAUUACAGAUAAACUCGCUCUGUGGUGAUAAAUUCACUCUACUGUAAUUAAAAACAACACAUUUACCCAGAAUAAACACCAACAUUCUUUGUUACAAAAUUGUUACACUGCUCUGUUUUAAUUUAGAGAGCAUUCGCUGCUGAUUCUUAAAAAAAAAGCAAUAACUUUUCGACUUUUUUUUUUAAAAAAAUAGCCUGCUGAAAUUUCAGAAUGAGAGAAAAUUCAAUUUGUGAUUUCAGGAUGUUUUGUGCAACAGCAGGGGUGAGGGGAAUGAACAAGACCAUGUUUUAAAAGUGCACCGUUUGUGCAGUACAUUAAAAUGUGCACUGCAUUUGCUAAAAUGACACAUGGGGGGGGCAAAGCAACUGUGGAGUUAGUUCAUGCAGUUCUGAGAUAUAAGUCAUCGAGAAUUCAGGCCAUAUCUUCCAGAGUGAAUCAUCUCUUGUCUGCAUGGAAGAUGGCAUGCAUAACCUGUUUACUGAAAGCUUUAUCACCGAGGAAAUACAAUUCUAAGCAUCAUCAUGUUGAGCACCUUUAACAUUUACAAUUCCCUUGAAAAAACCCCACAGUAAGUAAGUCCAUAGAUGUAAAUAGAAAUAAGAGCGCUGUAUUGCCUUCCGUAUGCGAAAUAUGGCACAUAUGUCAACAGUUUUGUGCGGGAAGUCAGUCUAAAAAUGAGCUAUUGACGAUUAAGAGUCAAAUUUAUUAAUAAAAGCGCAGCACAAGGGCAAUUUUUGACACACACACACACACACACACACACGCACACACACCCUGCCAAUAGGUUAAGUCCCAAAGAUGCUCCCCUGUCUUUUACUUCUUGCACAAUGCCCUAUGGGCCUUUCUAAAAGUGUAGGAUGCUAACACAAAAGGGGUGGGCCCUAUUUAUGUCGUCGGGUGGCGCUGUGGUCUAAACCACAGAGCCUAGGGCUUGCCAAUCAGAAGGUCAGCAUUUGGGGUAAGCUCCCGUUGCUUGGUCCCUGCUCCUGCCAUCCUAGCAGUUCGAAAGCACGUCAAAGUGCAAGUAGAUAAAUAGGUACCGCUCUGGUGGGAAGGUAAACGGUGUUUCUGUGUGCUGCUCUGGUUCACCAGAAGCGGCUUAGUCAUGCUGGCCACAUGACCUGGAAGCUGUCUGCGGACAAACAUCGGCU
Podarcis muralis (Common wall lizard) is the source of this 2122-nucleotide long non-coding RNA. NCBI's taxonomy places the organism in Eukaryota, Metazoa, Chordata, Lepidosauria, Squamata, Lacertidae. The record is from Ensembl.